AUGUGUAUAGUAAAGGAAAGAGGUGGUAUGGGUUUUCUUGAUGUGCACAAUUUUAAUUUUGCCAUGAUAGCCCAGUGUUGGAGAUUGAUUGAAAACUAUGAUUCCUUGUGUGCAAGGGUAUUGAGAGCAAGAUACUACCCAACAUGAGAUAUUUUGAACUGUGAACUAAAAAGGGGGUCAUCAUAUGUUUGGCAAAGUAUAUGGGCAGGGAUACAAACUUUCAAGAAAUGUUGCAUUUGA
This 240-nucleotide ribosomal RNA is filed under the name Triticum aestivum (bread wheat). RNAcentral describes it as "partial small subunit ribosomal RNA". Lineage: Eukaryota; Viridiplantae; Streptophyta; Magnoliopsida; Poales; Poaceae. The record is from RNAcentral.